CUACGGGAUGCAGCAGGCGCGAAACCUUUACAAUGCACGAAAGUGUGAUAAGGGGAUUCCAAGUGCUCAUACAUUGUAUGGGCUUUUGCCAAGAGUAAAUAUCUUGGCGAAUAAGUGGUGGGCAAGACUGGUGCCAGCCGCCGCGGUAACACCAGCGCCACAAGUGGGAUUCAGAUUUAUUGGGCCUAAAGCGUCCGUAGCCGGUUAUAUAAAUCCUUUGUGAAAUUGUUGGGCUCAACCUAACAACGUGCAUAGGACACUGUAUAACUAGGGACCGGGAGGGGUGUGAGGUAUUCCUAGGGGAGCGGUAAAAUGUUAUAAUCCUUGGAGGACCACCUGUGGCGAAGGCGUCACACUAGAACGGAUCCGACGGUGAGGGGCGAAAGCCAGGGGAGCGAUCCGGAUUAGAUACCCCGGUAGUC
This 422-nucleotide ribosomal RNA is filed under the name uncultured archaeon. Its description in RNAcentral is "partial 16S ribosomal RNA". It matches the Rfam family "Archaeal small subunit ribosomal RNA", at positions 323 to 746 of the family's 1478-position model. The record is from RNAcentral.